RNAcentral lists this ribosomal RNA (152 nucleotides) under Daptonema oxycerca. Its description in RNAcentral is "partial 18S ribosomal RNA". Lineage: Eukaryota; Metazoa; Nematoda; Chromadorea; Monhysterida; Xyalidae. The record is from RNAcentral.
GAGCGCAUUUAUUACCAAUCGGUGGUGAAUCUGAAUAACUCCUUGGUUCUACACCGGCGACUCCUUCAAUCCCUUAUCAACUUUAUGGUAGUUUUACGCCUAUGGGACGAACGGAGAAUUAGGGUUCGACGGAGAGGGAGCCUACGGCUACC